Molecule: ribosomal RNA, 328 nt
Filed under: uncultured eukaryote
Lineage: Eukaryota
Description: partial 18S ribosomal RNA
Rfam family: Eukaryotic small subunit ribosomal RNA
Source: RNAcentral
CCCUUAGAUGUCCUGGGCCGCACGCGCGCUACACUGAGUGUCUGAGAUACGAGUCUGCCUGGUCCGGCAAGGUCUAGGUAAUCGCUAAAAGACACAUCAUGCUUGGGAUAGAUUAUUGCAAAUAUUAAUCUUGAACGAGGAAUUCCUAGUAAGCGCAAGUCAACAGCUUGCGUUGAUUACGUCCCUGCCCUUUGUACACACCGCCCGUCGCUACUACUGAUUGGAUGUUUAAGCGAGGUUCUCGAACUGCUAGCGACUUAGCUUCGGUGAGGUCGCAGUGUGGAAGUGAACCUAGCUUUGGUGUCUAGAGGAAGUAAAAGUCGUAACA